GUAGCUCAGCGGAGAGAGCAGCCGCCUUCUAAGCGGUUGGUCGAGGCGCCGACUUCAGCCUGGCUCUCU
RNAcentral lists this transfer RNA (69 nucleotides) under Chloroflexota bacterium. RNAcentral's name for it is "tRNA-Arg". Lineage: Bacteria; Bacillati; Chloroflexota. The record is from RNAcentral.